GCCUAACACAUGCAAGUCGAACGAGAGAGAGGAAGCUUGCUUCCUCAAUCGAGUGGCGAACGGGUGAGUAACGCGUGAGGACCCUGCCUCAAAGAGGGGGACAACAGUUGGAAACGACUGCUAAUACCGCAUAAGCCCACGGGUCGGCAUCGACCAGAGGGAAAAGGAGCAAUCCGCUUUGAGAUGGCCUCGCGUCAGAUUAGCUAGUUGGUGAGGUAAUGGCCCACCAAGGCGACGAUCGGUAGCCGGACUGAGAGGUUGAACGGCCUCAUUGGGACUGAGACACGGCCCAGACUCCUACGGGAGGCAGCAGUGGGGAAUAUUGCACAAUGGGGGAAACCCUGAUGCAGCGACGCCGCGUGGAGGAAGAAGGUCUUCGGAUUGUAAGCUCCUGUUGUUGAGGAAGAUAAUGACUGUACUCAACAAGGAAGUGACGGCUAACUACGUGCCAGCAGCCGCGGUAAAACGUAGGUCACAAGCGUUGUCCGGAAUUACUGGGUGUAAAGGGAGCGCAGGCGGGAAGACAAGUUGGAAGUGAAAUCUAUGGGCUCAACCCAUAAACUGCUUUCAAAACUGUUUUUCUUGAGUAGUGCAGAGGUAGGCGGAAUUCCCGGUGUAGCGGUGGAAUGCGUAGAUAUCGGGAGGAACACCAGUGGCGUAGGCGGCCUACUGGGCACCAACUGACGCUGAGGCUCGAAAGUGUGGGUAGCAAACAAGAUUAGAUACCCUGGUAGUCCACACCGUAAACGAGGUUUACUAGGUGUGGGAGGGAUGGACCCCUUCAGUGCCCCAGUUAACACAAUAAGUAUUCCACUGGGGGAGUACGACCGCAAGGUGGAAACUCAAAGGAAUUGACGGGGGCCCGCACAAGCAGUGGAGUAUGUGGUUUAAUUCGACGCAACGCGAAGAACCUUACCAAGUCUUGACAUCCUGCGACGCACAUAGAAAUAUGUGUUUCCUUCGGGACGCAGAGACAGGUGGUGCAUGGUUGUCGUCAGCUCGUGUCGUGAGAUGUUGGGUUAAGUCCCGCAACGAGCGCAACCCUUACUGUCAGUUACUACGCAAGAGGACUCUGGCAGGACUGCCGUUGACAAAACGGAGGAAGGUGGGGAUGACGUCAAAUCAUCAUGCCCUUUAUGACUUGGGCUACACACGUACUACAAUGGCGUUAAACAAAGAGAAGCAAGACCGCGAGGUGGAGCAAAACUCAGAAACAACGUCCCAGUUCGGACUGCAGGCUGCAACUCGCCUGCACGAAGUCGGAAUUGCUAGUAAUCGUGGAUCAGCAUGCCACGGUGAAUACGUUCCCGGGCCUUGCACA
Molecule: ribosomal RNA, 1321 nt
Filed under: uncultured bacterium
Lineage: Bacteria
Description: bacterial SSU rRNA
Rfam family: Bacterial small subunit ribosomal RNA
Source: RNAcentral